Molecule: non-coding RNA, 651 nt
Filed under: Clonorchis sinensis
Lineage: Eukaryota; Metazoa; Platyhelminthes; Trematoda; Opisthorchiida; Opisthorchiidae
Source: Rfam by way of RNAcentral
GGAAAGACUCUGUUGGGCCUGGCAUAUGACCAGCAAAUAGUGGGGACAUGACCCGGGUAGAAUACGCCGGAGAUGGGUUUCAUCUUGGCGCUUUAAAUGUCGCCACAGUCCCCGUUUCUUCCGUCAAAAUGAAAAGGGUGUAUGCUCCUAAGUAUAUGUCAAGUUGUGCGUUUUCCUGUCAUGAUACUGUUUUCGCGGGCUGAACCGUGCAUCUUGGUUGCGGUGUGGUUUGAUGAGAGAACGUUUCUGGAGACAGAGUCAACCGGAGAUUUUGGCUGGGCCGCUUAAUCUGUCUGAGCGUGAAAAGAAAGGUGUUUUCAGUUGAGCUCAGCGUGUGAAGAAACGCUGCGAGAAGAGAAGGAAGAAAUUUGUACAUGGUUUUAGUUUCAGUGGGACCACAGAAAAUCAAAGCGCGUUAUAUAAAUCUGUUGGAUUUUCAUUCUCAAAAUUUGAGGAAAAGGCCGUCCAGCAUUUGCCACUUAUGUAACUGGCUUCCGGUUGCCAACAGUUAUCAGUGAUGUCACUGUUUUUGCUUUGGAUAUCUGCCCUUCCAGCGUUGUGAGGCAGGAUUCAAAAAUCAUUGAAUAGCUCACCUGCUCAAAGAAAAUGUGAGCUGGCUGGGGAUCGCCGUGUGGCGGGCUAGUUUUUCCC